CGGGAGGCAGCAGUAGGGAAUUUUCCGCAAUGGGCGAAAGCCUGACGGAGCAAUACCGCGUGAGGGAAGACUGCCUAUGGGUUGUAAACCUCUUUUUUCAGGGAGGAAUCAAUGACGUGUACCUGAAGAAUAAGCAUCGGCUAACUCCGUGCCAGCAGCCGCGGUAAGACGGAGGAUGCAAGUGUUAUCCGGAAUCACUGGGCGUAAAGCGUCUGUAGGUGGUUUAAUAAGUCGGCUGUUAAAUCUUGAGGCUUAACUUCAAAACUGCAGUCGAAACUAUUAGACUAGAGUAUAGUAGGGGUAAAGGGAAUUUCCAGUGGAGCGGUGAAAUGCGUAGAUAUUGGAAAGAACACCGAUGGCGAAGGCACUUUACUGGGCUAUUACUGACACUCAGAGACGAAAGCUAGGGUAGCAAAUGGGAUUAGAUACCCCAGUAGUCCUAGCCGUAAACAAUGGAUACUAGAUGUUGAACAGAUCGACCUGUGCAGUAUUAAAGCUAACGCGUUAAGUAUCCCGCCUGGGAAGUAUGCUCGCAAGAGUGAAACUCAAAGGAAUUG
RNAcentral lists this ribosomal RNA (557 nucleotides) under uncultured bacterium. RNAcentral describes it as "bacterial SSU rRNA". It matches the Rfam family "Bacterial small subunit ribosomal RNA", at positions 342 to 912 of the family's 1533-position model. The record is from RNAcentral.